This 23-nucleotide microRNA is filed under the name Medicago truncatula (barrel medic). RNAcentral's name for it is "mtr-miR156d-3p". Its record names the gene mtr-miR156d-3p. Lineage: Eukaryota; Viridiplantae; Streptophyta; Magnoliopsida; Fabales; Fabaceae. The record is from miRBase by way of RNAcentral.
UGCUCACUCAUCUUUCUGUCAAA